CCUACGGGAGGCAGCAGUGAGGAAUAUUGGUCAAUGGACGAGAGUCUGAACCAGCCAAGUAGCGUGAAGGAUGACUGCCCUAUGGGUUGUAAACUUCUUUUAUAUGGGAAUAAAACGUUCCACGUGUGGGACUUUGUAUGUACCAUAUGAAUAAGCAUCGGCUAACUCCGUGCCAGCAGCCGCGGUAAUACGGAGGAUCCGAGCGUUAUCCGGAUUUAUUGGGUUUAAAGGGGGCGUAGGUGGAUUGUUAAGUCAGUUGUGAAAGUUUGGGGCUCAACCGUAAAAUUGCAGUUGAAACUGGCAGUCUUGAGUACGUGAGAGGUAGGCGGAAUUCGUGGUGUAGCGGUGAAAUGCUUAGAUAUCACGAAGAACUCCGAUUGCGAAGGUAGUUCACUGGACUGCAACUGACACUGAGGCUCGAAAGUGUGGGUAUCAAACAGGAUUAGAUACCCCUGUAGUC
This 460-nucleotide ribosomal RNA is filed under the name uncultured bacterium. Its description in RNAcentral is "partial 16S ribosomal RNA". It matches the Rfam family "Bacterial small subunit ribosomal RNA", at positions 338 to 795 of the family's 1533-position model. The record is from RNAcentral.